This 253-nucleotide ribosomal RNA is filed under the name uncultured bacterium. RNAcentral describes it as "partial 16S ribosomal RNA". It matches the Rfam family "Bacterial small subunit ribosomal RNA", at positions 524 to 776 of the family's 1533-position model. The record is from RNAcentral.
GACGAACCGUACGAACGUUAUUCGGAAUCACUGGGCUUAAAGGGUGCGUAGGCGGCGCAGAAAGUUGGGUGUGAAAUCCCUCGGCUUAACCGAGGAAUUGCGCCCAAAACUACCGUGCUCGAGGGAGGUAGAGGUGAGCGGAACUUAGGGUGGAGCGGUGAAAUGCGUUGAUAUCCUAAGGAACACCGGUGGCGAAAGCGGCUCACUGGACCUCUUCUGACGCUGAGGCACGAAAGCUAGGGUAGCAAACGGG